This 732-nucleotide ribosomal RNA is filed under the name uncultured Staphylococcus sp. RNAcentral's name for it is "bacterial SSU rRNA". It matches the Rfam family "Bacterial small subunit ribosomal RNA", at positions 62 to 776 of the family's 1533-position model. Lineage: Bacteria; Bacillati; Bacillota; Bacilli; Caryophanales; Staphylococcaceae. The record is from RNAcentral.
UCGAGCGAACGGAUGAGAAGCUUGCUUCUCUGAUGUUAGCGGCGGACGGGUGAGUAACACGUGGAUAACCUACCUAUAAGACUGGGAUAACUUCGGGAAACCGGAGCUAAUACCGGAUAAUAUUUUGAACCGCAUGGUUCAAAAGUGAAAGACGGUCUUGCUGUCACUUAUAGAUGGAUCCGCGCUGCAUUAGCUAGUUGGUAAGGUAACGGCUUACCAAGGCAACGAUGCAUAGCCGACCUGAGAGGGUGAUCGGCCACACUGGAACUGAGACACGGUCCAGACUCCUACGGGAGGCAGCAGUAGGGAAUCUUCCGCAAUGGGCGAAAGCCUGACGGAGCAACGCCGCGUGAGUGAUGAAGGUCUUCGGAUCGUAAAACUCUGUUAUUAGGGAAGAACAUAUGUGUAAGUAACUGUGCACAUCUUGACGGUACCUAAUCAGAAAGCCACGGCUAACUACGUGCCAGCAGCCGCGGUAAUACGUAGGUGGCAAGCGUUAUCCGGAAUUAUUGGGCGUAAAGCGCGCGUAGGCGGUUUUUUAAGUCUGAUGUGAAAGCCCACGGCUCAACCGUGGAGGGUCAUUGGAAACUGGAAAACUUGAGUGCAGAAGAGGAAAGUGGAAUUCCAUGUGUAGCGGUGAAAUGCGCAGAGAUAUGGAGGAACACCAGUGGCGAAGGCGACUUUCUGGUCUGUAACUGACGCUGAUGUGCGAAAGCGUGGGGAUCAAACAGG